UGGCGAUCGACAUCGCGAUUUUCCGCGCCGACGUCUUUGAUGUCGCCCCCUCGACCACAACCUCGACCAGCUUGCGCGCGCCUUCGCCGUCGCGCGCGACCUGUUCGGCGAGAUCAGCCAGAAUGCCGUUGAAGGCCUUGGUGAACGCUUUCAGGCGCGGAUCGGAGGCACGGGUGAUUUUCGGCGCGCCAUGUGCUGCUGCGGCGCCGGUGGCGAAGGCCAGCAGCGUGUCCGAUGUCGAGGUGUCGCCAUCGAUGGUCACCGCGUUGAACGUAUCCUCGACGCCGGUCUUGAGCAGUGAUUGCAGCGCUCCUGC
RNAcentral lists this unclassified non-coding RNA (316 nucleotides) under Hevea brasiliensis (rubber tree). The record is from RNAcentral. Lineage: Eukaryota; Viridiplantae; Streptophyta; Magnoliopsida; Malpighiales; Euphorbiaceae.